GCGAUGAUAACGAGUCGCAUUUUCAGAAAAUAGAUAGAAAGAAAUUGAUCAACUGUCAAGCACAGGGUAAUUUGUAAACACCUAUAUAAGACAUGUAUGGGUUCUUUGAGUGCUCGAAAUGCAAGUGUAGAUGGGAAAGUGCUAAGGUUACUCCUAAGCAUAUCCGAGAUCAGGAAUGUGAAGUUUUGUUACUAGACCGUUGAUAGUGUGGAUUUGUCUUCGUCGCUUGGGCAAAGCCAAUGGGAUUAAAGUCUAAAUACACCGUUCAGAUGUACAGCCGCCGAUGCGGAUGGGUCCAGUAGCUAACAUCCUUAAAAGACAUGAAAAACAGACUUUUUCAGCUGUAUGAUUAGAGGCGGGAGACUUUUUACUCCAGGACUCCAGGGUAUUAUGGCCAACAAUGUAAGUCCUGCAAUAUUAUGUGCCAGCCGUACAGGGUGGAGGAGACCAAAUGCUCGCGGUGCGGUAUGGUUGCCAUGACCUGCGGAUGUGACAAAACCCGCCACACAGACCCGAGGAAGCCCCAUCGCAGCGACCUCUGUGAGAAAUGUCGAUCUGGGAGGCCGUGCCAGUAGUAAACAACGCUGGCAUCAAACAUGCAAAUGACAUAACCUUAUCAAUUUUAUUUUCCGUUAUUUUGAGGGCCUCAUGGAUUGAACAAACAUAUAUUUUUGUGAUUUUAAAUUAUUUAUCAGCACAUGUUUCUACAGCAGUUUCGAGAUGACAGAAUGUUGAAAUGACACAAUUAAAUAAAACGUUUGUAGCUUGUAAUUCUGUCUCGAAUAAUUUCUGACAGAAUGUGUAAAUUUCUUAAAACAUUAAUAUUAAAUACUGUAAAAUAAUUCAGCAUCAAAAAUAUUUAUCUUUAAAACAAAUAUAUAUAUACGAUUUGUUAUUAUAUGUUUAGUGAAUGUGGUGAGUAUGCUGUAUUUUAUAUAAUUUGCGUGUACAAUGUGAUGAAAAUUAAACGUUUUAAGCAUCGAAAAUGUCAUGCCAAUGUAUUUUCUCACUACUUGAUCAAUUAUCUAUUAGGAAGUUUAGAGCUCCAAACAAAACCAUGAGUACUAUUCAAUUCCUUAAAAACUCAAAACCUUGUGUUGUGCUUUACAUGUUGGACUUUCUGACCUCGCUUAUGAAACUCUCGUUCUCUUAAAAACCACUUACAACAGUCUAUAUUAUACAGAUACCCAGCAAUACAUUAAUUCAAACAACCCUCAUGUGGGAAAUUCAGUGUUCGAACCCUAUUUACAUUUGUAAUCAUAUGAAACGUCGUAUAUCAGGUACAAAUUAAAGUCAUUUUCUCGCAUGAUUUCUCUAACCCAGCAUGUGUUUACCAGUAAAACACCAUAGAUACUAACAC
Dreissena polymorpha is the source of this 1360-nucleotide long non-coding RNA. RefSeq lists it as uncharacterized. The record is from RefSeq and is a predicted model, not a curated record. The transcript is spliced from 4 exons. Lineage: Eukaryota; Metazoa; Mollusca; Bivalvia; Myida; Dreissenidae.